Unclassified non-coding RNA from Cricetulus griseus (Chinese hamster), 287 nucleotides. Its record names the gene 7SK. It matches the Rfam family "7SK RNA". From Rfam's summary of the family: 7SK was discovered as an abundant small nuclear RNA in the mid-70s but a possible function has only recently been suggested. Two independent studies have found that 7SK RNA binds the CDK9/cyclin T complex (known as elongation factor P-TEFb). Lineage: Eukaryota; Metazoa; Chordata; Mammalia; Rodentia; Cricetidae. The record is from Ensembl.
GAGUAAGAUCUGGAUAUGGCAUCAGUAAUUCUAUUGAUCUCCAGGUUGAUUGGACUGAUCUGUUUGGUUAGGUGAGUGUCCCCUUUCUUCCUUCUCCACUUUGUUUAUUUUGUUCUUGAAGAUGAAUUCUGAGUUGAAGAAGACAACCUUCUCCAAUAGAAGAUGACCCAUCUUUCAUGAAGGGUGUAUGAGUAGCUGUGUUCCCCUGUCAGAACCCUAAAUAUCUUUAUAUUCAUUCUUUUAAAGCUUUUAUUAAUAGGCCUACCACAUCAAUAAUGUGGAAAUGA